UUUUUAUCGCAUCAAAUACAUUGGGGGCCAUUUAAAUCAUCAAAAUCUCACGGCUAUUCAAUAUUUCAAAAUCUCAUAGAUAUUUUUAAAAUCUCGCAUUAUUAAUUUAAAUAUACUUUUAAAAUGUCAGAUUUGAAUGAGGCUGUCAAAUUAGAAAUAUUUCUAUAUAUUUUCAUUAUGAAGUAAAUUUUUAACAAUAUAUUUUUUAUUUCAGAAAUAUUUUAGCUCAAAUUAUAAUGAUAUAUAUGACUUCCUAAAAUGUUCUAAAGUUCCAGUGAAUGUUAAUAAGGCUAACUUUAUUAGAAAGAUAACCGCCUUCAAGAUUAUAGAAAAUCAAUUAUUCUAUGGGGAAAAAGAAAGAAAAGUUAUACUGACAGGAGAUGAACAAAAAAUAAUAAUUAAAACAAUACAUGAGGGGGGUGUAUCUUCAGUUGCAUGUAUUGCUAUGGGAGAGCAUCUGGGGAUUAAUAAAACUAAUCAAAUAAUAGCUGAAAACUUUUAUUGGUUGGGGAGCAAUAAAAGUGUUAGAAAGUUUAUCAAAUCCUGUGAAGUUUGUCAAAAAUCAAGCAGUCGUUUUGAUAAAACCUCAAAUGUUUUGCACAAUAUUAAAGUUGUGCCAAAGUCUUGGUAUCAAAUUGGCAUCGAUUUAAUCCAGAUGCCAGAAUCCAAGGAAAAAUAGAAAUAUAUUUUAUGUACCAUAUGCUAUUUUUCAAAAUAUUUAUUGGCUAUUCCUAUUAAGAAUAAAACAGCUAAAUCUGUUGUAAAAGCCUUAUACAUCAUUGUCAACACCCACCAAAGCUAUGAAAUUCAGAUAAAUGAUCAAGGCAGGGAAUUCUGUAACAAUGUUUGUACAGAAUUCCAUAAAUAUUGUGGGAUUGUCCAGAGAAUAACCUCAGCCUACAACCCACAAGCAAAUGGUGGUUGAGCGAGUUAACAGAACAAUUCAGAACCGAAUAGCAAAAUCGGUUUUGGAUAUCCCAACUGACUGGCCAGAUGCUUUGGUAGGGGUGUGUGGCACCUACAAUUCUUGCAUACACUCUUCUAUGGGAUUUUCGCCCUAUGAACUGAUGUAUGGUCAGAAACCACGACGCCCUCUUACAUUACAAAACAAAAUUGAGGAUGUAUUAGCCUUACCAGAGGUUAUGGCAAAAAUAACAAUUGAUCAUUGUUUAAAAGAAGAGUUAGAAAUUAAAAUGGCUCAUCUUAAAAAAAUAACGGAACUGGCUAUACAAAAUACUGGUAUAGCCCAGUUUAAACAAAAAAAAGGAUUACGAAAAAAGAUCAAAUGGUUCUAAAUCUUUUAUUUUGGGACAAAAGGUUCUUGCUUGGAACCAUAAAAGGUCAGAUGGAAAGGGGGGAAAAUGUUGAACCCCUGGAUAGGCCCUUAUUUGAUCAAUAAAAUAUUUG
Long non-coding RNA from Gordionus sp. m RMFG-2023, 1407 nucleotides. RefSeq lists it as uncharacterized. The record is from RefSeq and is a predicted model, not a curated record. NCBI's taxonomy places the organism in Eukaryota, Metazoa, Nematomorpha, Gordioida, Chordodea, Parachordodidae. The transcript is spliced from 5 exons.